Molecule: ribosomal RNA, 373 nt
Filed under: uncultured bacterium
Lineage: Bacteria
Description: bacterial SSU rRNA
Rfam family: Bacterial small subunit ribosomal RNA
Source: RNAcentral
AUACGGAGGAUGCGAGCGUUAUCCGGAUUCAUUGGGUUUAAAGGGUGCGUAGGCGGAAUAAUAAGUCAGUGGUGAAAGCCUGCGGCUUAACCGUAGAAUUGCCAUUGAUACUGUUAUUCUUGAGUAUAGUUGAGGUGGGCGGAAUGUGUAAUGUAGCGGUGAAAUGCUUAGAUAUUACACAGAACACCAAUUGCGAAGGCAGCUCACUAAGCUGUUACUGACGCUGAGGCACGAAAGCGUGGGGAGCAAACAGGAUUAGAUACCCUGGUAGUCCACGCUGUAAACGAUGAUCACUCGUUGUUGGCGAUACACCGUCAGCGACUGAGCGAAAGCAAUAAGUGAUCCACCUGGGGAGUACGGCGGCAACGCUGAA